This 254-nucleotide ribosomal RNA is filed under the name uncultured bacterium. RNAcentral's name for it is "partial 16S ribosomal RNA". It matches the Rfam family "Bacterial small subunit ribosomal RNA", at positions 15 to 265 of the family's 1533-position model. The record is from RNAcentral.
GAUCCUGGCUCAGGAUGAACGCUAGCGGCAGGCUUAACACAUGCAAGUCGAGGGGCAGCACGAGGUAGCAAUACUUUGGUGGCGACCGGCGCACGGGUGCGUAACGCGUAUGCAACCUACCUUUAACAGGGGCAUAACACUGAGAAAUUGGUACUAAUUCCCCAUAACAUUCGAGAAGGCAUCUUCUUGGGUUAAAAACUCCGGUGGUUAAAGAUGGGCGUGCGUUGUAUUAGCUAGUUGGUGAGGUAACGGCU